This 308-nucleotide long non-coding RNA is filed under the name Gossypium barbadense (sea-island cotton). RNAcentral's name for it is "long non-coding RNA (GBAR_LNC019813)". The record is from RNAcentral. Lineage: Eukaryota; Viridiplantae; Streptophyta; Magnoliopsida; Malvales; Malvaceae.
UGCUAGACAAUACAUGUGAAAAGGAUGCAGCAGUAUAAUCUAAACAGCAUCCAAUUGGUCUCAUUUUUUGUGGUAUAACUUAUAGGGGUAGACAAACAGAAAGGCCAAAUGGUUUUUUUUUUCAAACUUAAACGGCACAAAUGCAAGUGAAGAAGGAUGAACAAAUCAAUUACUAUCCAGACAACGAAAAGAAAAAAAGGAGCAUAAAAGUUGUAGAACUACACGAGUUCAAUUAGCAUUUUUACCUUGAUGGAAGGCACCAUAGCGAUUGCUUCCUCCACAGUUUCAGGACACAGGUUGCCAAGAAC